Long non-coding RNA from Leopardus geoffroyi (Geoffroy's cat), 369 nucleotides. RefSeq lists it as uncharacterized. The record is from RefSeq and is a predicted model, not a curated record. The transcript is spliced from 2 exons. Lineage: Eukaryota; Metazoa; Chordata; Mammalia; Carnivora; Felidae.
CCUUCUUGUAUUGCUUUUAGGAAGACCUGAAGCAACAGGAAGCAAGCAAGACACAGUCAAGUGACCGAAGAAGACCCCCGUGGCUGCCCGGAGCGGAAAGAAAGAGAUCACUUGCUCUGGGGAGAAACUUAGUCACCACGUUGUGAAGAGUCCUACAAAGAGGCCCUCAUGGUGGGGCACUCAAGCUUCUAGCCAGCAGCCAGGAGAGUGAGCCACCCUGGAAGCAGAUUCUCCAUCCCCAGUCAAGCCAUCAGAUGACUCCAACCUCCGAAGAGACCCUGAGCCAGAAUCACCCAACCAAGCUGCUCCCGGAUUCCUGAAUUUCAGAAACUGUUUGAGACAAUAAACAUCUGUCCAUUUAAGCUGUUA